RNAcentral lists this ribosomal RNA (293 nucleotides) under uncultured bacterium. RNAcentral describes it as "partial 16S ribosomal RNA". The record is from RNAcentral.
GGACUACUGGGGUAUCUAAUCCCAUUCGCGACCCACGCUUUCGUGUUUCAGCGUCAGGAGUGGUCCAGUCUCUUGCCUUCGCUUUCGGUGUUCCCCUAGAUAUCAACGCAUUUCACCGCUACACCUAGAGUUCCAGAGACCCCUACCAUCCUCUUAGUCAUGCCGUUUCCCACGCAGCUCCCCGGUUGAGCCGGAGAAUUUAACGCGAGACUAACAUGACCGCCUACACACCCUUUACGCCCAAUGAUUCCGGAUAACGCUCGAAGCACUCGUAUUACCGCGGCUGCUGGCAC